GACAGAGGUGCCGAGCGUUAGGCGGAAUCACUGGGCUUAAAGCGUGUGUAGGCGGGUCGUUAAGUGUCUUGUGAAAUCCCACCGCUCACCGGUGGAACGGCUGGGCAUACUGGCGACCUUGAGAGGCCUAGGGGCAGACGGAACAAGCGGUGGAGCGGUGAAAUGCGUAGAUAUCGCUUGGAACGCCGACGGCGAAAGCAGUCUGCUGGGGGCCUUCAGACGCUGAGACACGAAAGCCAGGGGAGCGAACGGG
Molecule: ribosomal RNA, 253 nt
Filed under: uncultured bacterium
Lineage: Bacteria
Description: partial 16S ribosomal RNA
Rfam family: Bacterial small subunit ribosomal RNA
Source: RNAcentral